CAGUUCGGAUUGGAGUCUGCAACUCGACUCCAUGAAGCUGGAUUCGCUAGUAAUCGCGCAUCAGCCACGGCGCGGUGAAUACGUUCCCGGGCCUUGUACACACCGCCCAUCAAGCCAUGGAAGCCGGGGGUGCCUGAAGUGCGCUGCCGCAAGGAGCGCCCUAGGGUAAAACCGGUGACUGGGGCUAAGUCGUAACAAGGUAGC
RNAcentral lists this ribosomal RNA (204 nucleotides) under uncultured bacterium. RNAcentral describes it as "partial 16S ribosomal RNA". It matches the Rfam family "Bacterial small subunit ribosomal RNA", at positions 1289 to 1500 of the family's 1533-position model. The record is from RNAcentral.